Carassius carassius (crucian carp) is the source of this 579-nucleotide long non-coding RNA. RefSeq lists it as uncharacterized. The record is from RefSeq and is a predicted model, not a curated record. NCBI's taxonomy places the organism in Eukaryota, Metazoa, Chordata, Actinopteri, Cypriniformes, Cyprinidae. The transcript has 3 exons.
CUUAAUGAGACCCCGCCGCCCACAUGCCGGCUCUCCCGUGUGGCUUUCAUUGGGAUUAGGAGGGAAAUCCAGAACUUGACACGCCCAGUAAAGCGCAGCGUGGCAGUCCACGAGCUGGCUGUAAAACAAGCCAAGGAGGCCCGCCUGAUCCCUAAAGCCACACUGAGAGCUUGCCGGGACUCUGCCAAAAAAAUUAUUCCUGAGAUUCUGGAUCGUCUGAAGACUAGUCCUGAGAAAAAGGACCAAUGGUCUUUUUAUGGACACCUCACCGCUUAAUGGGCCAGCAUUUAUGGUCACCGUGGAGGGGUGUUCCAAAAUUUAACAAUUAAAGAGGUGGAGGAUGCCCGUGCGACAGCUACAGAAGGCCAAUUUGUCAUUAAUAUAUCAGCCCACAAGACCAACCAGGCCUUUGGUGCAGCCCAGCUGGCCCUGGACCAGGAGGAGUAUGGGUGGCUUGAGGAAUUCCUUUCACUCCGGUCCAACUUGGUAGGGGGACGAGAUGCAAACUACUUCUUCUUUACCUCAAAGGCCAGCUCCUGCAAAAACUUGAACAACUAUUUUCAGGAUGCGUGGGCGAGC